GACGAACGCUGGCGGCGUGCUUAACACAUGCAAGUCGAACGGAAAGGCCCUGCUUUUGUGGGGUGCUCGAGUGGCGAAAGGGUGAGUAACACGUGAGUAACCUGCCCUUGACUUUGGGAUAACUUCAGGAAACUGGGGCUAAUACCGGAUAGGAGCUCCUGUUGCAUGGUGGGGGUUGGAAAGUUUCGGCGGUUGGGGAUGGACUCGCGGCUUAUCAGCUUGUUGGUGGGGUAGUGGCUUACCAAGGCUUUGACGGGUAGCCGGCCGGAGUGGGUGACCGGCGACAUUGGGACGUAGAUACGGCACAGACACCUACGGUAGGCAGCAGUGGGUAAUAUUGCACAAUGGUCGGAAGCCGGAGGCAGCAACGCCGCGUGCGGGAUGACGGCCUUCUGGUUGUAAACCGCUUUCGCCUGUGACGAAGCGUGAGUGACGGUAAUGGGUAAAGAAGCACCGGCUAACUACGUG
RNAcentral lists this ribosomal RNA (468 nucleotides) under uncultured bacterium. Its description in RNAcentral is "partial 16S ribosomal RNA". It matches the Rfam family "Bacterial small subunit ribosomal RNA", at positions 28 to 507 of the family's 1533-position model. The record is from RNAcentral.